This 347-nucleotide long non-coding RNA is filed under the name Homo sapiens (human). Its description in RNAcentral is "HSALNT0395951". The record is from RNAcentral. Lineage: Eukaryota; Metazoa; Chordata; Mammalia; Primates; Hominidae.
CGGAAGGAGGCGUGCCCUCGAGGGCGGGGCGCUCCCGGGGACCUGGGGCUGCUGCUCCCCGAGCCGUGCUUUGCAGAGGCAAGCGUCUAUGAUUUAAAUGCUAGCUUUGCCGCUUACUGGCUGAAAGACUUUAAAUGACAAUAACAAAAAAUGAAGAGGAUGAUGAUGAUGAUACAAGAUACCAUUGCCCGUGUGUACCAGACAUCAUGCUAAGGAGCCGCCGAGGAGAGGGCAAAACAGAACGAGGAUGCACACAUCAAAAGAGACCCCAGGAGUAUGAUUGAAAGGACGUGAAGAAGAGAAAGUGGCUGCCCUCCAGGAGGAUGGAUUGGGCCACCAGACUUACC